AGAAAGGACAGUCACAAAGAAAAGGAAAGGCAAUGUCUGGCGUUUCAGAAACAUCACAAAGAGCACAGAGAAGGACGGUCUUUGUCUAGAGGUAACUGGCUCCAGGGCACUGGCUUCCUUCUCCAACAUUACCCAAGGAGUGGCUGUGCUUUUGUCAAGGUUUACAUGAAAAAAAAAAAGAUAAAAAUCAUCAUGGAUGAAUAAAUGAAAAUACAUAGGCAGGCAGUGGCCAGACCUUCUUGACCUUCCCAUCUUCAGUAUCUUGAAGCAGCUCUGCCAUAACUGUAAUCUAUAGCAUCUGUUGAUUUAGAAUGUUCAAUCAAUUAUUCACAACGGAGCCCUGCUCUACAAAGGCGACCACAGAGCAAGGCCCUGCCCUCAGGGACUUUAUGUUCUGAAUGGGGGAUGCAGACAGGUGAACAGGUAACGAAUUGCACGUGGAAUGUCACCUGAGGUCCAUUGCUAGGGCAGGGACUGGGUAAUUAUGGCUCCCAAGAGGUCAGAGGUUUUCCUGGAAGAAGUGACGUAGGAGCCUUGGAUGGGUGAGGUAGGUGAGGAGUGGGGGAAGACAAGCUGAAUUUUCUGGAUAGAGAGGCAGCAUAUAUAGGUGAAGGCCCGGAAAGAGAGCAGAGAAGCAGAGAGUGUGAACAGUCCCCGCCUGAUACCGGCUCAGGACAACUGGGCCCCAGAACUGGAACUAGACCCUGAAUGGCCUGUGGGGAUGAAUGAGCCAUCAGUCUGUGGGGCACUGAGAAAACGUCUUGGGAUUUCAUUGGUGGGUUGCUGUUUACACUGAGUGCAAAGGUUCUGAUUUAGGCCCAGAGUGGGGAUUAACCUAACAGCCGUGUUGGGGCAGCUUGCUGGGGUGAUGAUUGGAUUCUGUUUGGAGUUGGCUCUGGUGGCAGGUCCUGGUUCCCAGAUUUUAAACUUCCUCCCACCUGUUGAGCUGAGAGUCCGGACGAACUCGUUCAGAUGGAGGAAGAGGCUUGUUGGAUGCUUCCCCAUAUCAAAGAACAUUCUUGGAACCAAAGUGACAGCUCUAUUGCAAUGUGGCUUGGAGAAAGAACGUGUCUAAAAUGAUCAUGGAAAUGCUCAGAUAUGAUUUUUGAGUCGAUGGUGCUGGCCUGGCACGUAGGCCUGGACCCAGGAUUGUGUGAACUUUGGCAAGUCAGUUGGCUUUUGGCAUCUACUUCUUUAUAGUUUGAAAAUGGGGCUAGUUGCUGCCUCUAGAAACUUCGGGUAUAGAAAUGAGGUGCUGUCUGUGAAAAUACUGGGCUCCUGGAGAAAACGUUCAAACAUCCAGGAUGUUAACAGCCUUUAGUUUUGGGGGUGUAAUUGUCCACACUGGGCCUGCAAGUGUCUCUGAGUUUGUGUAUUUAAUGGUCAACCAUUCAGCCUAAUGUCCAUAUCCAGCUUAUUUCCAUAAAAAUACUUUCUACUUGCCUUUAGAUAGACUGUCUUAUGUUUUAUUUAGAUGGAGAAUAGUAUGUCCAGAAACUUCACGUUAAUAAAAUGCCCCUAAUAGAAAGAGAAUGAGCCCAAUCCAACCUUCUCUUUUUCAAAGUUUUUUUUUUUUUUAGGGGGUGGUGCAUGGGUGUGUACCAGGGAUUGAACUCGGGAGCACUCGAUCACUGUGCCACACCCCCAGCCCUAUUUUGUAUUUUAUUCAGAGACAGGGUCUCACUGAGUUGCUUAGCGCCUCAUGGUUGCUGAGGCUGGCUUUGAACUCACGAUCCUCCUGCCUCAGCCUCCCGAGCCGCUGGGAUUACAGGCGUGCACCACCGCACCCGGCUCAAGUUAAUUUUUAAUGCACUGGGAAAAGCUGUGAACUUGAAGCUAAAAAGUUUAUGCUUCGUGGGAGAAGUGUCUACUGCCUCAAACACUCUUUGAGUCCCUCAGCUUCCAUUUUGAAGAGCGUUUUCUGGAAAGGAUUGAGGGUCACUUCUUCGUCAGGCAGACCCCCCUUUCAAGAGCUCAGGUCUUGUUCACACUUGAAGACAGAGUACCCUCCUCCAUCCUGAAGGGCUAUAGCUGACCUGCAUUGCCCCCUCUUCUCCUGGAGGUCAGACUGAAGUCACCUGCAGGGGAGACCUUUGACUUUUCUGUUUGGGAUGUUCUCUUUCUCAGACUGAUUUAUACAUCAUUUUCUUUGAAGACAGGAAAGAAAUUCUCAAUCAUAUAGAUUGUCUUUUCACAGGGAAAAGCACCUGAUUUUUACAUGGCUGAUUUCAUUUUCCUUUUAUUUUUGUGGUAAUAGGGAUUGAAUCCCCGGGUGCUUUCCCACUGAGCUACAUGCCCAGCCCUUUUUAUUUUUUAUUUUGAGACAGGGGCUCACUAAGUCGCUGAGACUGGCGUUGCACCUGUGAUCCUCCUGCUCUGAUUACUCGGAUUCUAGGUGUGUUCCACAGUGCUUGGCUUCUCUCCUGUUUUGAAUGGAAGAGAAGGUAGAGAAAUGAACUUCCACCUUCAAAGUCAUCUAUACUUGAUGCAAGAGAGAGAGGGAAGCUACGAAUUCUAUGCAACUGAUGCCAAGUGCAAAUUGUAGUUCAUGACUGACAGAAGAGCUAGCCUCAACUGUUUUUUUUUUUCUUUUUUAAUUAUGAAGUCAAUGUGAAGAGUCUUAAAGGGAAGCUAAGUGCCUUUAACCAAUUUCUGGGUGAAAUAGUAAAAAAUAAUCUCCUGUAGAAAGACAGUUAAUUUGUGUCCAAACUAUUUAUAUUUGUAGAACAUAUAUAAAUAUUUUAUGUUAGGUUGAUAGAUUUGGGUCAAAGAGCACUAAACGUUUACAUUUUGGUAGAAAUUGUCCCUAAAAAGUCGCUAAAUUGCAGUUUUUCUUUUCCCACAUGCUGGUCUACAAUUAAUAUUAUUAUUAAUCUUUUACAUUUUUACCAAUUUAAUGGAGGAAAGAUGACAUCUCACUUUAAUUUUUCCUGAUGACUAACGAGGUUGAACAUCUUUUUUUGUGUAUUUCUCAGCCAAACACGUUUCUUCCCUGAAAUGUAUAUAUUUAUUCUUUGUAUUUUAAAAGGGUUCUUGUUUAAUCUUUAAUACAUCAUGCACUGUAGUCAAUCAUUACCUAAUUUUGUUUUUAGCAGACACUCGAUUCCUGUUGACAGUACAUUAGAAAUAACCAGUGGAUGGAAGAGAAUUCAGUAACCUGGAGAGACGGCAGCAUUCUGAAGCAGAGGGGAGGUCAGGGAGAUAAUUUUGUCCCAAUGUUUUGUUUUACAGAAGAGCAAACCAAGGUAUUGAGAGGUAAGAGAUGUCUCAUACCUGGCUAGUAGCAGUUUUGAUAAUGGAUUCUGGUUCAAGUACUUUUAUCCUGCCUGCUGCCCCUCAUGUAAUAGUGUGCAUAAAGAGUAUCCUUGUUUAUUCUUUUCUGGGUGCAGUGUCUUCAAGUAAAUCUUCUUAACAUAGCAGCAAGUAAAUGCAAAUCUGUCUAUAAGGAGGAGAGAACGCGUUUUCUUAGCCACACAGGAUUGGCCCUGGUGAGCUGGUACCAGGCAGAAAGCAAAGUACAGUCUCUCUCUCUCUCUCUCUUUUUUUUUUUUGGUAAUGGGAAUUGAACUGGUGUGUGUGUGUGUGUGUUGGGGGGUUUAACCACUGAGCCAUAUUCUUUUAUAUUCUAUUUUGAGACAGGCUUAGGGCCUUGCUAAGUUACUGAGGCUGGCUUUGAACUUGGGAUCUUCCUGCCUCAGGCUCCUGAGCUGCUGGGAUUAUAGGCGUGUGCCACCACCCCGGCUAAGUAUGGUUUCUUAAACAUGUCAAGUGGGUGAUAAUGAGUUUCUCCAAAAAAGGGGGUGUCACAUGCUGAUGAAGUAGGGGGUUAUUAUGAAAAAUGGGGAGGUGUCUGCUAAAUGGCCCACUGGUAAUACAUGAAGCUUCUGGUAGCUGUGUAUCUUCUGUUGUCUCCAAUCCUUUUGAAUCUGUGGCAAAGUAUCAGCAGAAACCAUCUAUUUCAGAAACCUCUGUCCUAUGAUACUUAAAAACAAACAAACAAAAAACCCCACAUAAUCCAGGGAUGUGCUUUCAGAGACGGAAGCCUUAUGAACAGUCGACCUCACCUGAGCGUUCAGGAAACCUUCCAGGUAGGAGAGCUGAGCCUGGUGAUAAGACAGUUUCCUCAGUGCUGGGAAACGGAGCUGGGCUUGUCAAGGACAGAGUGACGUUGGAUCAUGUGCUACAGCUUGGAAUUAGAGGUGGAUGAGCUGUCUUGUCCUCAUGCCAUCUUACAAGGAAGGGAGGCAAGAUGGGCAAGAUCAGCAAUGUUCCUGGGCCUGUUAGCCAUACUGACCAGGGUAGCCUAGGGCAGAGCUUCCCGAACACAGUGAGUGGAUGGGAAUUUGGAAAAGUAAAAGAGAGUUAUUAUGGAACUAUGUGUCUGCAAUACCCGGGCCAGAGGUUUCUCUGAAUUGUCAGCAGUUUUCAGAUCUAUGGUCUCCCUUCCCCAAAGCAUGUGGGCCCCACAACUGUUCUAGAGCUCUAUUGGGAUUGCACAGUCAUCCCUUUUCUGAGAACUCAGGAGUUUCCUGGAACAUGGGACCUCUAGAGUGAGAACUAGGAUGGUCCAGGAAAAACCAGGAUGAUUAGUCAUCUUGUGUGAAUAAUCAAUCCCAUUAGAUUCUUGUGUGUGUGUGUGUGUGUGUGUGUGUGAGAUGCUGGGUAUCGAACCCAGAUCUCAUGCAUGUAAUCAGAAAUCAACAAUCAGACAUAAAUGCCAGAGCUAAAAACCCAACAGGUGUGAAUGAGCAAGUGGGACACUUACCUUUGAAGUAAAAGAUAAACAUUGUAGUUCAUGCACCAUAAAGAUUCCGCCCCCACCCUGAGAUAAAUACAGACUCACACCUAACUGAACUGCCCUUCAUCUUCUCCGGGCAGCCGUGCUGAAACAGAUCUUCUAACCCACACGACAGGCUGAGCCUUUUUGGUGGAGGAUCAUUGCGCUGUACCUUGGUUAAUGUCCUCUCUUCUGACUGCACGUUAGACCCAGCUGGAAAGUUUAAAGAACACAAAGGUAGACCACCAGGAUCCACUCUUGAUCAAGUAAAUCAGAUUCCCGAGUAAAGCAAAAUUCCCUGGUAGGCAAUUCUUAAAAAGCUCUGGAACUGAUUAGUCUGUAGACUGGUUGAGAAACAUGGGUCCAGGCAAAGAAGAGAUCCCAGAAAUCAAUGCUGGAUCAAGCGGGUGGCCGCGAAUCCUGGCUUGCACCUGUUGUCCUGACAUUUUUUAAUAGCACAUUUUUUUUUAUUCUUAAAAUUCCCCAUAUUGGAACGAUAAAUGCUAUGAUUACACAACAUGGAAAACUGUUAGAAUUUUUUUUUUCUUAAUUGAAAAGACAAAAGUGAGGUGUAGCUUAAAAAGCAGAGAUCUUAAGUGUAUUGAUGAAGUGUAACAUAUGUGUGCAUCUAUGUAGCUACAAGCUAGAAUAACAUUUUUAGUACUUUCCAGAACAUUUGUUUCUCUUUCUGGUUAGUAGCCUUUUCUUUACCCCAAACAAGUAAUUUUGACUCCCUCUGAGUAGAUUCAGAAAAUAUAUACUGUUGGGUGUCUGAUUUCUAUCUCUCAAAAUCAUGUUUGUGAAAUUCAGUUACGGCACAGUGUGUAUCUGAAGUUUGAUAUUUUAUACAGAUAUAUAGUAUUCCAUUAUAUGAUUAUACUAUAACUUAUUUACCAAUUUGCUGGUUGUGGAUGGACAUUUGAGUGUUUCCAUUUUUUGGCAAAUGGGAAUAAAGCAGCUAUCUACAUCCUUGUACCUGUCUUGGGACACAGGUGCAUGAGCUUUUCUUAAUGUCUCCAGCCCUGAGAAACCAGUAGUAGCUCAUGGGUUAUCUAGAUCCACACUUGGGCAUGUUGCCUGGAUGCCCUCAAGCUCUGGUGUAUCAGUGGGAGUGGGAAGAUCUGCUUUUGGCUCGAGGCAAGGGAGAUGAUCAGCAUUCCUUUCAGAGAUCAUUGGAGGGUCUAAGGGUGACAGAGAGAUUACAGGUGGGGUGUGGGGUGGAUUCCAGUCAGAUUAGCAACGGGGGAGGGAGCAUCCUGGAGGAGUUUAAGGUGACACUUCAGAGUCAUCCAUGGGUGCAUUUUUAACCCUUUGGGUGGGAAAAUGCAUGUACACACAUGCGCUUACACACACACACACACACACACACACACUCUCACACUCUCACACACGAUAUAGUAGAACAAAUGACAUAAUAAACCUACACGUUCCCAUCACAGUUUCAAUAAUUACCAAAUUUGGCCAGUCUUUUUUUUUUUUUUUAAAUCUGCAUCACUGUCUGCUUCUCCCCUACCCCUGGUUAUUUCUGGUGGUCUUUAAUUUCCUAAUUUCAGUAAAAUGAACAGUGAGGGGAGUGGGGAAAGGGGUCAUUUCAGGAGGGGAAAGUCCCUGUGAGUUCCCACUUUCAUGACAUGGAAAUUUGGGGGUCUCAAGACCACAUGCUUUGUCAUCUCUUCUGUCCCAUAACGGUGAACUACUUUUCCCCUUUCUUUCUGAUUUCUUUUUAAAUCCCAGGCCCGGCUUUGUGGUCUGUAUUGCUCUAGACUUUGGGCUCCCCAGGGUCAGGGGCUGAGUCAUGGACGUGUUCGUCUCCAAGUCCUAGCAUGGGGGUAGGCAUUGAUAAAAUAUUUGUGGAGCGAACGUUGGGAGGGUAAGUCGUGGGCAACCAGUCAUUUCCAAGUCUGGCUUCUAGAAUUUCAGAGCACCUUCAGGCUACAGGGGUGAGUGUGUGAGGCUCCAACCCAGGGCGGGACUGUCCCCACGGCUUCCUCCAGGGUCAGCAAGGACUCAGGGCAGUGACUUCCUGGUUCCUUGUUCAGCUCUGGGGUCCAGCCCACCAGGCUUUCUUCCAUGUUUCCUGUUCUCUGGUUCUGCCUGCCUUCUGCUUCAAGUCUAGGCAGAAUUUCUAAAAGAAAACCAUCCCUUCGGGUCCCCAGUCCCAGGACAGGUGUUUCCCAGCUGGGACGGAAUCCACCCUUUCUUCUUUCUCGGGCUUAUUUGGACUCUCCUUUGAUCUCUUGCUGCGUGGGUGCUGGAGACUUCCUUCAAGAAUCCUCCUUUGUUUACCCAACAGUCAGGAACUUUUCAGAAGAAACCGCCAUUUGCCAGAGUUCUGCAGCCGGCAUUGAGCAUCGCUGGUCCAAGCCGGGUGGCGCACCUGCCCGAGAGGGGCUUUUUUAUCUUUGAGAAAAUAGAUGUCCCACUGUUGAGGACACGGAGGCUGUAAGAGGGACCUUUUGCUUGUGGAAUUGGCAAAGAAAGCAGGGCAGGAUGAUGAUUGGUUGAGGCCAUCCAUUGGCAUUUUCUCAGUUAGGUGGAGAGUCUGUACAUUUGUCAGGUUAAAAAUCUUUGUCGGUGAGUAUGGAAAGCAGUCCUGGGAGGCGACACCGGGUGAUGGCUGGAGCAUUGGGUCAGCGACCUGACACCUGCUGCCCAUCUAACCAGCUUUCCUCAGCCCACACACCAGUGGGGAUGGCGCCUGGGGCUCGGAUCCAAGCACAACGCCUGCCCCUUUGCCUUCCAGCUGCCUUCUCGGGGCCUAAAGAAGACUUUGUUACCUUUGAAAAGAAGGGUGAGGAGGAUGGGAACCUGGGGAGGCAGAGGGCUCCUGGAGAUGCCAUCAUGGGAAAUCGCAUAAGGACCAGGGGAAAGGGCAGUGGUUAGAGCCACCUGUGGCUGGCUUUCAGUGGUCCCAAGUGGAUCAGACUUUCUGUUCCUUCCGAGGGAUGUCGUCCCCCAUCCCCUCAUGAAAGCCCCAGAGGCAAUAGCAGACUCAGUGCAGAGAGAUGAGGAAGUUGAUAAUACAGGACAGGGGUUCUCAAACCCAAGUGCCUCAGGAAACCUGGGAGCAGGGGUUAAACCCAGAGUGCUAGGCCCCUCCCCCAGGAGUUCUGAUUCCUAAGGUCUGGGCGGGGCAUGGGAAUUUGCAUCUCUAAUAAAUUCCCAGGUGAUGCUCCUGCUGCUGCUGGUCCGGGAUCUCACUUUGAGAACUGGGGAUUUAGUACCUGACCACAGACCCCCUGAAGGAAAAUGGGGUCAGCAGGAGUCAGAGAGGGCUGUUGAUCCAAGUGCCUUUUAUACAUGGAUGAAGUCCAGGAGGUGGAGUGUAACAGAAGGUGACAGUUUGACGGACCCAAGAUGGCCCAUGUUGGAAGGCUUUACCCCAUCCCCGGGUUCUCCUCUGGAAUCCACGGGGUAGAAACUGGGUCAGGGUGAUGAUCCUGAGGAAACCCGACUCUUCUGGGGCAAAGUCUAUCUUCUGCAGAGAUGAAGGAAAAGAGGGAUGUAGUGAGGAGCAAGGCUGGGGACCUUGUCCUGAUGGAGCAGGGACAACGCCAGGAGAGUGGAAAGACCAUGAGCUGACCUGGUGGGCUCGAGGUGCAGGACAGGAGCCCUGAGAUUGCAGAGGUGGACAUUGAGGGUGGAAAGGACAUGCACGGAGUGGAGCGUGAGCACUGCAUGGGGCACGGGGCGCUGGCGGGUGGUAGCCACAGGUCACACAGCUGUUUUCAAACACCAUGACCUUGUCUGAUCUUCCCCGCAUCCCUGUGGGUAUGUGGAGCAGGUACGAUCACUUCCAACUUCUGGGUGAGGAGAUUCACCACCGAGAACACUGGGCAACUUGCCUCAAGAGGCUGGGACAGCUUCGGAGCCCAUGUCCUGCAUUUGGAGGCCCAUGCUGGUUCUGGGCAUUGGAGAGGGUACAACUGCCAUGCUCGGUGUGUGCUCAGUGGACACCGCAUGGUGGGGUGGCUGAAUUGUGGCUCAGGAUGGAACCUGGGCCUGGAGAGGACCCUCGAUGUUUUAGCUAGUGGAGAGCAGAGACCAAGGCAGGUGGCCAAGGUGACAGGAGGAAGGGAGGCAGGAAGCCUGGGGGGUGGGGUCCUCAUCUGGGGUUUAGCGUCACUCUCCCCUUGACAGUGCACCAGGUGCCCCCUGUGCCCUGACUGCCUGGGCCUCUGCCUUCUCUCUGCGGUGGCUCCCUCUCUGCCUGCCUUCCCUAGUUUCCCGCCACACCAUGGAUUCUGCUUACUGCCAUUACUUGUGUUCUAUUUUUUUUUUUUUUUUGGUAUAGGGGGAUUGAACUCAGGGGUACUCAACCACUGAGCCACAUCCCUGGCUCUAUUUUGUAUUUAUUUCUUUAUUUUUUUUAGAGAUAGGGUCUCACUGAGUUGCUUAGCGCCUGGCUUUUGCUGAGGCUGGCUCUGAACUCGCGAUUUUCCUGCCUCAGCCUCCUGAGCCACUUGUGUCCAUUCUAGUUCCCGUGGUCUGUUCUGCUGCUUCUCUGUGUACCAUCUGUGGAUUCUCUCUGUGUAUAUUUAAAGUCUUUAAGAAUAAGGACCUAGUUUGAAGAUGAGCAUGGUGGAGUGGAGUCUCAACCCACCUCUUGGUUGGUCUAUAGGAGGCUGCUUUGGGGUAAUGUCUGGUACCUGGUCCGGUCAGCCAAGGCCAAGGUGGAAAGCGACACAGGGCAGAGCAGGUGUCCAGAGCUGCCUGUGGAUUUGUCCAGGCCAUGGUGGGCCCUCAGAAGUGCUAUAAAAGCAUGUGCUGUUAUAAAAGCCAGGCAGAGCCUUUGCCCUAGAGGGGAUCCCAAAGACUAGGAUGCUCCAUAGAUUUCUAGAGAUUUCCAAAUAAGAGGAAGGAGAUGAGAUUUUCUUUUCUGGGACUGAAAUGUAGGGUGAGAUGUAGGGGUGGAGCCACAACAAGUCUGUAACUGGGUGGAUUAGCAGGAGGAGGAGGCAGGAGGGAGUUGGUGCCAAGUGUCAGAGGGUUGGGCUGACGGUCCAUAAGUCCUUCCUGCCUGAGGCUGGUCCUGCCUCUGAUCCUGGACACUGAAAUUGGGCUCACAGAGAAGGCUCUGCAGGAUUCAGCUGUGAGAGUAGGAUGGCUGUGGACAGCAACGGGCUGACCCAGGCCACAGUGGACCAGAGCGGAUGGACCCCGAGGCGGAAAAACAGCAGAACACCAUGUUUGCCCAGGAAAAGGGUGUUUAUACGUAACACAUGCUGUUGGGACCUGUUUUCAAGUGAAGAGAAUUCCACUCCUACUUGUAAAUUCCUGAGUGCCAGUAAAAGCACCUAAUCUGUGACCAUACUCCCAAAGCCACUCCUAAGGAGAUUUAUACCUGGGGUUUAACUAGGUGACAUGGUCAGAAGCCUCCGUGACUGCAAUUUCAUGUAAGAAGAGGGGACGACUGGUGGGUGCCCUGAGAAAAUUCCAGCAGAGGCUGAAGGAUGGCAGACCCGUCCUCCUGCUGAGGGGUCUGAGCACUGACGGGGGUGGGGCAAGGGCUGGACCAUACGGUCCUCGACCCACUGGUGACUGACCGUCCUCCCAACCUGACACUGUGGUUGAGCAGGUCCCUGAUCCUGCCCUGUCUGGCCUACUGUUCACAAGGCUGCCCCGUCCUCUCCUGCCAGGAUCAGGAGGGACCUUGAAAAGACGGUCCUGCUCAACCCUCUGCUAUUCCAUAGGUAAAUGACAAGUCAAUCAAGAUGUGUAAUUGUCUGAAUGAAACCUGGAUCCGUAGGUUGGGGCUAUGGCGUUUAUUUGCAUGUGGAGAUCCAGUCUUCCCAGCACCGUUUAUUGAAGAGGCCAUCUUUCCCCCAUGGUGUGUUCGUGGUGCCAUUGUCAAUGUUCAGUUGAACACACGUGCACAGGUUGGUCCAUGUGUCCUGUCUGGUUGUUUGACUAUUUUGAUUACUAUAGUUUUGUCAGAUAGUAAAAAAACCAGGAUGUAUGAUGCCUCUUGUUAUUUCUCAAGAUCGCUUUGGUGAUUUGGGGUGUCUCAUGGCUCCAUAGUACAUGGUUGCCGCAGUCUGGCUGGGCACAAAUCACGAGCCACUGAAGCAGGAACAAACUUUAUUUUUAAACUGCAGGAAAACACUUCACACAGCUCCCGGGGAAUCCUCCCGAACGCGCCAGGAGGCUUGUCCAGGAAGCCCCAGCCGGAAAUAUCUCUCCCGGAAAUCCCUCCUCCUGCACUUCCCCAAACAAUGGGAACUCUCGGGGAAUCCCCGGAAAUCCCCACGAGAACUCCAAAAUAGUGCGAGAACUCAAAAGUUGCGGCAGAGGCGGAUAGUAAUGCCUCGCCUGUCAAUCAAUACUGUUGGCAAAAUGCCAGGGGCCAUACAGACUCGGCCGUGGCUCUCAGCAUCUCCCCCUUUUUGUUUAAUUAAACAACAAGCAAUGUGGCUUAGGGACCGUGCCUGUUAGGCAGUCCAAUUCAACAUAUGGUCCUUACCCGUCAUCGGAUGAACUGACCUCUAGGCGUCAGCCUCCUGUCUUAGGUUGGUACCACUGCAAUUGGAUCAUACCCGUCACUGACUACCGGUCCAGCAUACAGCCAUACUUGUGGAUAGGCCUUUGCACCAGUGGGGGGGUGAGGUUCUUUGCCUCACCUCUGUUGGCCCCCAAAUUUUAGACCAUCACUAGUAGAAGGGAGGAGGAUGCAAAAUGCCAUGACACUAAGCCAAUUGAGGGCUCCUUUGAAAAAUUGUACCACCGGUGACACCAUCAGCAAAAAUACUCCAGCACUACCACAAUUCGCCGUACCAACAGAUAGUUCACAAUGCAUACAAGUGAUACAUAGUCCAGGCAAGGUCUGCAAGCAAUUCAAAGCAGAGGAAUCUGUCAAUAUGUCCAUUUCCUCCCAAAGUAAAUCAACUCCUUAAUUGAGCAUUACUUGUUGAGUUAUUAUUCAUUGAUGCAUCAGUUUUUACAGUUUGUUGUGAUAACUAUCGAAGAAGCUGUAGUUUGGUUUUAUCUUUGUCUUCACCGGCACUGGGAUGAAGAUAGGAAUUCUGGCAAUGAUGCUAAGAAAAAAAUUAUGUAACAUUCCAACAGGCACUAAGAAAACAAUUUUUUGAACAAUUUACAUUAUCCUGAACAGAAUUAUUAAAUAUAAUGAGAAGGAAAGGUGAAAGUAAACAAACAGAUCUGUUAACCUCCUUAUUUGUUCACAUAUUAAAACAAUUUUCAACAGCUGUUUACCCAAUCUAAAUUAAACCAUUAAAAUCACGUGAAUAAAAAAAUUCGGAUCCAUUUAUUCAUGAGCGCUCCUCAUAUAUGAUAUAUGGACAUACGCACAUACAGACAUACAACACAAAACAGAAGUGUGCACACAUAACAUACAACACAUAAGACAAUAGUAAAGGCCUUGUAGCUUUACCUAGGUGAAAUCUCCAUUGCAAUGCUUAAAAACUCCACAGUCAAAAAAUAAAACUGAUCAGAAAAACAUUAACCUAGGUCUGUAUGAGCUCAAAAAACAAAAUAGAACUUCAUGAUAUGGCAAAGGGCAAUAAUAAAAUAGAUAUUGAAAAAAGCAUCCUGGUUCUGUUGCAGAUGUAAGAAUAGCCAAACUGGAGUUUUGGAUAUCAGUUGUUAUGGAUUUGAGCCAAAUCAUCUUCUUUUUGGUCUGUAGAAAUCGC
This 12426-nucleotide long non-coding RNA is filed under the name Marmota monax (woodchuck). The record is from RNAcentral. Lineage: Eukaryota; Metazoa; Chordata; Mammalia; Rodentia; Sciuridae.